ACUUGUUCUUUAAAUAGGGACUAGUAUCAACGGCACCACGAGGGUUACUCUGUCUCCUUCCCCCAAUCAGUGAAACUGAUCUUCCCGUGAAGAAGCGGGAAUAUACCCAUAAGACGAGAAGACCCCAUGGAGCUUUAAGCUCACCAGCACCUCUGCACUAACACACCCUUACAAACUCAGAGCCCUGUCUGCUAGCUUUAGGUUGGGGUGACCGCGGAGUAUAACACAGCCUCCACGACGAACGGGAUUAAACCCCUAAUCCAAGAGCCACUGCUCUAAGAAUCAUAAAAUUGACGUAACAUGAUCCGACUCUCGAUCAACGAACCAAGUUACCCUGGGGAUAACAGCGCAAUCCAUUUCAAGAGCCCCUAUCGACAAAUGGGUUUACGACCUCGAUGUUGGAUCAGGGUAUCCCAGUGGUGCAGCCGCUACUAAC
Molecule: ribosomal RNA, 436 nt
Filed under: Nothophryne sp. HF 21
Lineage: Eukaryota; Metazoa; Chordata; Amphibia; Anura; Pyxicephalidae
Description: partial 16S ribosomal RNA
Rfam family: Bacterial large subunit ribosomal RNA
Source: RNAcentral